Molecule: ribosomal RNA, 94 nt
Filed under: Acanthosepion pharaonis
Lineage: Eukaryota; Metazoa; Mollusca; Cephalopoda; Sepiida; Sepiidae
Source: RNAcentral
UACACCGGUUCUCGUUCGACCUCCGAAGUUAAGCAUCGUAGAGCCAGGUCAGUACUUAGAUGGGGGACCGCUUGGGAACACCUGGUAAUCGCUA